Molecule: ribosomal RNA, 483 nt
Filed under: uncultured bacterium
Lineage: Bacteria
Description: partial 16S ribosomal RNA
Rfam family: Bacterial small subunit ribosomal RNA
Source: RNAcentral
GAUGAACGCUGGCGGCGUGCCUAAUACAUGCAAGUCGAGCGAACCACUUCAGUGGUGAGCGGCGAACGGGUGAGUAACACGUAGGUGAUCUGCCCAUCAGACGGGGACAACGAUUGGAAACGAUCGCUAAUACCGGAUAGGACGAAAGUUUAAAGGUGCUUCUGGCACCGCUGAUGGAUGAGCCUGAGGCGCAUUAGCUAGUGGGUAGGGUAAAGGCCUACCAAGGCGACGAUGCGUAGCCGACCUGAGAGGGUGAACGGCCACACUGGGACUGAGACACGGCCCAGACUCCUACGGGAGGCAGCAGUAGGGAAUCUUCGGCAAUGGGCGAAAGCCUGACCGAGCAACGCCGCGUGAAUGAUGAAGGCCUUCGGGUUGUAAAAUUCUGUUAUAAGGGAAGAACGACUUUAGUAGGAAAUGGCUAGAGUGUGACGGUACCUUAUGAGAAAGCCACGGCUAACUACGUGCCAGCCGCCGCGGUAA